RNAcentral lists this ribosomal RNA (345 nucleotides) under uncultured bacterium. Its description in RNAcentral is "bacterial SSU rRNA". It matches the Rfam family "Bacterial small subunit ribosomal RNA", at positions 917 to 1267 of the family's 1533-position model. The record is from RNAcentral.
GGGCCCGCACAAGCGGUGGAGCAUGUGGUUUAAUUCGAUGCAACGCGAAGAACCUUACCAGGGCUUGACAUACUACGAAUCCUUUUGAAAAAAAGGAGUGCCUUCGGGAAUGUAGAUACAGGUGGUGCAUGGCUGUCGUCAGCUCGUGUCGUGAGAUGUUGGUUAAGUCCCGCAACGAGCGCAACCCUUAUUUUAGUUACCAAUUCGUUGGGUUCUCUAGAAAGACUGCCGGUGACAAACCGGAGGAAGGUGAGGAUGACGUCAAGUCAGCAUGCCCCUUAUGUCCUGGCUACACACGUGCUACAAUGGUGGAGACAAAAGAGUUUGCGAGCCCGCGAGAGUAAG